RNAcentral lists this ribosomal RNA (253 nucleotides) under uncultured bacterium. Its description in RNAcentral is "partial 16S ribosomal RNA". It matches the Rfam family "Bacterial small subunit ribosomal RNA", at positions 524 to 776 of the family's 1533-position model. The record is from RNAcentral.
UACGUAGGGUGCGAGCGUUGUCCGGAAUUACUGGGCGUAAAGGGCGCGUAGGCGGCUCUUCAAGUCAGCCGUGAAAUCUCCAGGCUUAACCUGGAAGGGUCGGUUGAUACUGUCGAGCUAGAGUGUGGAAGAGGCAACUGGAAUUCCGUGUGUAGCGGUGAAAUGCGUAGAUAUACGGAGGAACACCUGCGGCGAAGGCGGGUUGCUGGGCCAACACUGACGCUGAGGCGCGAAAGCUAGGGUAGCAAACGGG